AGCUUUCGCAACGUUCCCAAUCAUAUUGAUGAAAAAUUCAUUUUGGAUACAUAUUUGAACACUUAUUGAACAAAAGCUGUGAAAGUUUUGUUUUAUUUUAUUGAAAUAAAUAUAAAUCUCUGUGUAUAAAUGACAUAAUACAAAAUACAAUACAAAACAGUUGAAUAGAUCUUGGUAUUUUAAGAAAUUUCGAAUGGAGCUCAACACAUUCCAUCGAAGUAAUAUUUCUCAUACACAAGUGACUUUCUCUUUGGAUUAACACAUUUCUGGGUAAUUCGAAAUGAAAAAUCUAGCGUUUUUCUCUUUCCAAAAGCUCUGCAGUUGGCUAUGCCGAAAUUGCAAUAAAAAAGUAUGCAAACGUGAUUUCUUUGAAUUUUUGUUUACACAAUUUGUUUUACAAUUAUAACAAUGGCUAUAAUAAACGACAUUUCGAUAUAAAUAAAAACUGAAAUAAACGCAUCAUCUCUAUAUUUAUUCGAGUGAUUCAUACUACUUUACAGAAUUUUCUAGACAUUGAAAACGUAUCCAUCAAAUGCUUUAUCGUUAAAAUGCCCUAUUACCGAAAGAACAUUAUCUUCAUUCAUGUCUGUCCAUUGAAAUGGACGAUGACAACUAUUUGCUUAUCUUCCUUAUACAUUCACUUUCGAUAAUUGGAAAAAUUAUAUAUUUUUCCUUCGAAAAAUUCGUGGUGGUUGGUAUAAAAGGUUCGCUUUCCUUUCAUUUUGAGUAUUCACUGAACUGUAUCAAUAUGGAAUUCUUCUCUUUGAAAGCAGCCGUCGCAGCAUUUGUGCUUUUAAUUUUGGACAGUGUAAUAACUGUCAUAGCUACUGAUCCCACGAUGACUCCUACUACUACACCACCUUCGUAAAAUAUUUAUAUGAGGGAUCUAACAUAAUGACAAUAAAUGAAUAUUAUUAUUAA
Molecule: long non-coding RNA, 921 nt
Organism: Harmonia axyridis
Lineage: Eukaryota; Metazoa; Arthropoda; Insecta; Coleoptera; Coccinellidae
Exons: 2
Source: RefSeq, a predicted model, not a curated record